Xylaria castorea is the source of this 134-nucleotide non-coding RNA. Lineage: Eukaryota; Fungi; Ascomycota; Sordariomycetes; Xylariales; Xylariaceae. The record is from the annotation of a GenBank genome assembly.
GCCCGGUUAGCUCAAUCGGUAGAGCGUGAGACUCUUAAUCUCAAGGUUGCGGGUAGGCAAGAACUCAGGCUUUCGCGGAAUCUGAAUCGAAAUAACUAAUAUUGUGCGCUUAGGUUCGACCCCCGCAUCGGGCU